Molecule: small nuclear RNA, 61 nt
Gene: U7
Rfam family: U7 small nuclear RNA
About the family: Animal histone pre-mRNAs are spliced by a different mechanism than nuclear pre-mRNAs and self-splicing introns.
Source: Ensembl
AACUGUUACAGCUCUUUUAGAAUUUGUCUAGCAGGUUUUCCGUUCUUACUGGAAGACUCCC